This 2172-nucleotide long non-coding RNA is filed under the name Mus musculus (house mouse). RNAcentral's name for it is "RIKEN cDNA 4930549P19 gene". The record is from RNAcentral. Lineage: Eukaryota; Metazoa; Chordata; Mammalia; Rodentia; Muridae.
CUUAGAUGAAAUGGCCAACUGUAGGGAGACGGAACUACUUGAGCCUACCUCCAGCAGGAAGACAGGGCAUCAAAUGAGGAAGAGGGGGACUAUCUCAUACUCACAAAUCUGAUCCAUAAGUAUUCUAUUCUGAAAGAAUUUCAGAGAUGGGAACGGUGAGGAGCCUGAGGAAAAGAAGGUCCAGCAACAGGCCCAAAGUGAGAUGCAGCUCAAAGGGAGGUCCCAAGGCCUGACAUUAUUUCUGAGGCUAUGGAGCACUCAAAAAAAAAAAAAAAUGGACCUAGCCUUUCCUCAUUCCAGAAGACCCAACAAACAAGUGAAAGAGUCGGAUGCAUAUAUUUGCACCCAACCAAUUUUCUGAAGCAGCUGACCCCUGUUAUUCAAAUUGAGAAGGCUAAAUGAAGCUGAGGAAAAUGUGACCUUGUAGGAGGAUCAACAAUCUCAAUAAAUCUGGACUCCCUGAGAUUUCUCAAAUACAGGAUCACCAAAUAGGCAGUAUAUACCAGCUGAUAUGAGGCCCCCAACACAUGUACAGUAGAGAACUGCUGGAUCUGAGUUAAUUCACAGAUGAUACACCUAACCCUCAUGGGACUGGAGGCCCCAGGGAGAUUAGAGGUCAGAUAAGACCCUAGCAUGGCUCUCCUUAGAGAUGCUCCACCCAGCAGUUGACAUAGACAGUUCCAGAAAACCACAAAGGACAUCAUCAUCGGCUAAAUAUAAGUUAUGGAAGAGGCAUGGUCCCCCUAGGAUUUCCGAAUAACUGAGUGCUGCAGGUCGGGACAAAUGGCCAAAUGUCAGACCCAAGGAUCACCAUGGAUAGAUCUCUCACCAUAUUGAUGAUGCUGGUCAUGACAGCGACAGCAACAGCCAGGAAAGCCCAGACCUAUCAGGUUUAAGUACCUUUAUAGUUACUUCCACCUUUUCAAAAGGCAGAGAAUAUUGUGUUUUGACUGAAUUGCUUCCUCGCAUCACAGUACACCCACUUGAUGAUUUUCUAAGAUUCUGGGAGAGAGGAUCCACACAUCCCUAGAGGCACAGCAAGCCCUUCACUGCAAAGAACCUGUCUCCAGACAUUUUUCUAGUCACUUCAAUCAGAUCUCUGAGUCAACUUACCUGCCAGCUCGUCACAUGAAUUAACCAUCAUAUUUCUGCAGCGUUCUUUGGAGAGAACCUGUUUUUACCUUCCCUAAUAAGGAAGGCUCCUGAUUUUUGAACUAAUUUUAUAUCCAUCCAGUGCCUGAUAAAUACAGAAGUGGAUGCUCACAGCUGUGCAUGGGGUCUCCAAUGGAUGAGCUAGAAGAAAGGACUAAAGGAGCUGAAGGAGCUUGCACCUCCAAGGGAGGAACAACAAUAUGCAUCAACCAGUACACCCCAAAACUUCCAGGGACUAAACCACCAACCAAAGAGUACACAUGGAGGAAUCGAUGGCUCCAGCUGCAUAUGUAGCAGAGGAUGGCCUUGUUGGACAUCAAUGUGAAGAGAGAGACCCUUCACUGCUCGAUGCCCCAGUGUAGGGGAAUAACAGGAAAUGGGAGCUGGAGUGGGUGGGUUCAUGAGCAGGGAUAGGGUGAAUGGGAUAGUGCACCUAUAAGAAACAAGACAGAAGAGAUUGGCUAUGCCAAAGCCUAAAGACAUCGAAAAUUUUUGAGUCAAAUUGCAUCAAGACAACCUGUUUAUUAUACAUAUGGUCAAUAGUUGAACAGUAAAAAGAACAGUUUAAAGGGAUGUUGGAUCAAGCAAGGACGUUGGCAUUUAAAGUGCCAUGUUCAUAAAGAGAAUGCAAAAAAGGUGACAAUUUUGUUUGUUUGUUUGUUUUUUUUUUUUUUGAGACAGGGUUUCUCUAUAUGGCCCUGGCUGUCCUGAAACUCACUCUGUAGACCAGGCUGGCCUCCAUCUCAGAAAAUCUGCCUGCCUCUGCCUCCCGAGUGCCUGGAUUAAAGGCUUGUACUACCAUGUCCCAGCUUUUUUUUUUAACCAGGCUUUUGGUUUUCUGUUUAUUUUGUUCUGGUUAUUUCAUUUUGGGCAUGUGAAUAUUCCCAGGGUAAGACAUAGAUGCUGAACAAAAAUAUUGUUAGGCAAAAUUUUUCAAGAUUCACUGGGAUAGGAAAGGUACACUAUUAAUUUAUGUGAGUACCAAGACAAUAAAAACUUAAGGUGUGAACUUGUGAAAAA